GACGGUAGCUUAACUAUCGCAGUGCCCUUGAUACUGAAGAGCUUGAAUAUAGUUGAGGUAGGCGGAAUGUGACAAGUAGCGGUGAAAUGCAUAGAUAUGUCACAGAACACCAAUUGCGAAGGCAGCUUACUAAGCUAUGAUUGACGCUGAGGCACGAAAGCGUGGGGAUCAAACAGGAUUAGAUACCCUGGUAGUCCACGCCCUAAACGAUGAACACUCGAUGUUGGCGAUAUACAGUCAGCGUCUAAGCGAAAGCGUUAAGUGUUCCACCUGGGGA
Molecule: ribosomal RNA, 277 nt
Filed under: uncultured bacterium
Lineage: Bacteria
Description: partial 16S ribosomal RNA
Rfam family: Bacterial small subunit ribosomal RNA
Source: RNAcentral